This 488-nucleotide ribosomal RNA is filed under the name uncultured bacterium. Its description in RNAcentral is "bacterial SSU rRNA". It matches the Rfam family "Bacterial small subunit ribosomal RNA", at positions 29 to 506 of the family's 1533-position model. The record is from RNAcentral.
AGUGAACGCUGGCGGCAGGCCUAAUACAUGCAAGUCGAACGGCAGCACAGUGGAGCUUGCUCCAUGGGUGGCGAGUGGCGGACGGGUGAGGAAUACAUGGGAAUCUGCCCAGUCGUGGGGGAUAACGUAGGGAAACUUACGCUAAUACCGCAUGCGCCCUUCGGGGGAAGGCCGGGGACCGUAAGGCCUGGCGCGAUUGGAUGAGCCCAUGUCGGAUUAGCUAGUUGGCGGGGUAACGGCCCACCAAGGCGACGAUCCGUAGCUGGUCUGAGAGGAUGAUCAGCCACACUGGAACUGAGACACGGUCCAGACUCCUACGGGAGGCAGCAGUAGGGAAUAUUGGACAAUGGGCGCAAGCCUGAUCCAGCCAUGCCGCGUGAGUGAAGAAGGCCCUCGGGUUGUAAAGCCCUUUUGUACGGGAAGAAAGCCGCGGUUGAACAUUCCGUGGUCAUGACGGUACCGUAAGAAUAAGCACCGGCUAACUUCGU